Molecule: transfer RNA, 72 nt
Filed under: Ictidomys tridecemlineatus (thirteen-lined ground squirrel)
Lineage: Eukaryota; Metazoa; Chordata; Mammalia; Rodentia; Sciuridae
Description: Spermophilus tridecemlineatus (thirteen-lined ground squirrel) tRNA
Rfam family: tRNA
About the family: Transfer RNA (tRNA) molecules are approximately 80 nucleotides in length. Their secondary structure includes four short double-helical elements and three loops (D, anti-codon, and T loops).
Source: Rfam by way of RNAcentral
AAGGAUGUGCCUCAGUGGUAGAGCGCUUGCCUGACAUGUGUGAGGCCCUGGGUUCAAUUCCCAGCAUAUUCA